GCAGACCUUUACUCUGUAAACAGUUAAAGCUAAUCUUUCCUUUGCUUUUCCUUCACGGUUCUAUCUUGAUCCAUUCUCUCAUUCUUUAUUUUCUUGCCUUCUCUGUUUGGUUUUGCUUCUCUUCAUCUGUUUCCUUUUUUAUAGUUUGACAACUUGUUAAGGGUGAAAAGUUAAACCAUGGAUGCAGCAGCAGUAGGAGGAGCAUUUCUCUCUGCUUUUCUUCAGGUUCUGUUUGAUAGAAUUGGUUCUCGUGAGGUUCUUGACUUCUUCAGGGGAAGAAAACUCAACGAUGGCCUGCUGAAUAAGUUGAAUUUAACAUUGAAUUCUGUCAAUGGAGUGCUAGAUGACGCGGAGGAGAAGCAGAUUACUAGGCCUAAUGUGAAAAUCUGGGUCGACGAGCUAAAAGAUGCUGUUUAUGAUGCCGAGGACUUGUUAGAUGAGAUUGCAUAUGAAGUUCUGCGAACGAAGUUGGAAGCUGCUCCUGUGUCUCGGAGACAAAAGGUGCGCAACUUUUUCUCUUGUUAUAAUCCAUUUAAGAAGGGAGUGGAAGCAAAGUUAGAAGAGAUAGUAGAGAGACUUGAAAAUUUAGUAAAACAAAAGGAUGUCCUUGGCCUAAUAGAGAGUGCUGCAGAAAGACCACCACCAUUACAGAAUGCAGCAACGACUUCUUUGGUUGAUGAAUCUGGUGUUUAUGGUAGGAAAGGAGAUAAAGAAGCCAUAAUGAAAUUGCUGCAAUCAGAUAACACAAGUGGGAAAGACCUAGAUGUGAUUUCCAUAGUGGGCAUGGGUGGGCUUGGUAAAACCACCCUUGCUCAGCUUGUCUAUAAUGACAAUCGAGCAGAUCAUUUGUUUGAUCUCAAAGCAUGGGUGUGUGUUUCCAAGGAAUUCAACAUACCCAAGAUCACUAAAGACAUUCUUGAGGAAGUCACUGGGAAGACUUGUGAAAUUGAAAAUCCCAAUCGGCUUCAACUUGAGUUGAAGAAGACAAUGAUUGGAAAAAAAGUUCUAAUUGUUUUGGAUGAUGUUUGGAAUGAUAAGAUUACUCCUUGGGAGGAUUUACUGAAACCUUUGAAAUUUGUUGCUCAAGGAAGUAAGAUUAUUGUGACAACAAGAAAUGAAAGUGUAGCAGUACUUGUAUGCACUCUUCCAAUCCAUCAUCUGAAGGAAUUAACUUAUGAUGAUUGCUGGUCCUUGUUUGCAAAAUAUGCAUUUGAUGAUAGUAAUGUUGAUGCAUAUCCAAACUUGGAAGAAAUUGGUAGAGAAAUAGUAAAAAAGUGCAAAGGCCUGCCUUUAGCUGCAAAAACACUUGGGAGUCUACUCCACUCAAAAAGAGAUGUUGAAGAAUGGGAGAAGAUAUCGAGGAGUGACAUUUGGAAUUUGCCAAAUGAUGAUAUUCUUCCAGUGCUGAGAUUAAGCUAUUAUUGUCUCCCAUCACAUCUGAAAAGAUGUUUUGCUUAUUGUGCUAUAUUUCCCAAGGAUUAUGAAUUUAAAAAGGAGGAGUUAGUUUUUCUAUGGAUGGCAGAAGGUUUCCUAGCAGGGGGUCCAGAGCUGGAAAAUGCAGGCAGUGACUUCUUUUCUGAUCUUGUAUCCAGGUCAUUUUUCCAAAGAUCAAGUGAUGAUCAGUCGCAUUUUGUUAUGCAUGACCUCAAAAAUGACUUAGCUAAAUCUGUGUCUGGAGAAUUUUGUUUCAGGUUAAAUUCUAACAAUUCUAGUAGUAUUACCAGAAGGACUCGCCACUUGUCAUAUGCGAGAACAGAACAUGAUGGCUCUAAGAAAUUUGAGGCUGUUUAUGAAGCUGAAGUUCUGCGCACAUUCUUGCCUAUAGAUUGGUCAAAGUGGUGGUGGCCCAAAUGCAUUGACAACGAGGUAAUGCAUGAUUUACUGCCAAAGCUAAAGCGCCUACGUGUGUUAUCUCUGUCUCAAUAUCAUAACAUCAUUGAAUUGCCUGAUUCAUUCGGCAAAAUGAAGCAUUUACGGUACCUGGAUCUCUCUGGAACACCUAUCAAAAGGUUGCCUGAAUCUGUGGAUAAACUUCUCAACUUACAGACAUUGAAGUUGCGUGAUUGUUUUGAGCUUAUUGAGUUACCAAGAGGCAUCUGCAAUUUACUCAACUUGCGGCAUCUUGAUAUUAUCGGCACAUUGGAGUUGCAAGAUAUGCCGCCUCAUAUCGGUAAUUUGACUAGUCUUUGCACGUUGACUAAGUUUGUGGUGGGGACAAUCAAUGGACGAAUAACAGAGUUGAAGAAACUGAAUCUACAAGGGCAACUUCAUAUUACAAGUUUGAAGAAUGUGUUAGAUAUUGAAGAUGCAGAUUUUGCCAAUUUGAAGGAUAAGCCUGGUAUCACUGAAUUAAACUUGGAUUGGGUUGAUGACGAUGAAUUUUCCUCUGGUUUUGUGAAUUCAAGUGAUGAAGAACAAGUUCUCAACUCAUUACGGCCACAUCAAAGUCUGUCAAGCCUCUCAAUUAGAUCAUUUGGUGGAAAGGAAUUCCCAUCGUGGCUUGGAGAGCCUUCAUUCUCUAGCAUGGUGGAGGUGGAGCUGACCAAUUGUUGUCAAAUCAAAUUAUUGCCACCACUCGGACAAUUGAAGUCACUAAAAAAGUUGAGCAUAGAAGGAUUGAGUGGAGUGAAAGAAGUAGGUGUUGAGUUUUACAACGAUGAUUCAUGCUUUUCUUGUUUGGAGACACUAGAGAUUAGUCAUAUGUAUCAGUGGGAGCUAUGGUCAUGGUCUAAUUGUCUGUGUGAGGAUUCUGUGGCAAAAUUUCCUAAGCUACGUGAGCUUCGAAUAGUAUAUUGUCCCAAGUUGGUUGGAAAAUUGCCCACCUCUCUUCCCUCCCUGGAAGAACUUAGUAUUUUUGGUUGCCCGCGGUUAGUUGAUUUACCAAAAGGGCUGCCUUCCUUGAAAGAACUACAUGUGCUGAAUUGUCCACAGUUAGUUGAUUUACCAGAAGGGCUUCAGUCUCUUAUAACACUAUCUAUUAUUGGAAGUCAAGAGGCAGUUCUCAGGAAUGUGUCUUAUGCCACCUCUCUCACUACCUUGGAAAUUGCAGGUAUGUCAGGACUCGUGAGAUUAGAUGAAGCCAAAAUAAAGACACUGGGGGCACUUCAAGUGUUGGAGAUUAGGAAUUGUGGUGAACUGAGAUACUUGUGGGCUGAUGAAACCAAUUCAGACUAUCUCACUAGUCUAAAGGAUUUGAAAAUUCACCAAUGUAAUCAGCUUGUGUCAUUAGUAAAUGGAGAGGAAGGGCUUUUGCCUUGCAAUCUUGAAAGUUUGAAUAUUUCUCAGUGUCGUUAUUUGGAGGAGUUGCCAAGUGGUCUGAGCAACCUCAAAUCUCUCCAAUAUUUGAGCAUUCACUCAUGUGCAAGUUUAGUCUCCUUCCCAGCAAGGGGUUUGCCACACAACUUGAUACGCCUUAUAAUCGGAAGGUGUGGUUCUUUGGAGUCAUUGCCCGAGGGAAAUGUGGGUCACUGUAAUUACAUUAGCGAGAUGUCUCAUCUAGAGGAAUUGUAUAUCUAUGAAUGUAAAUCUCUCAGGUCCUCUCUGAAUGGCAAGUGUCCUGAUUCCCUUAAGACUCUUAAUAUUCGCAAUUGGACGACACAAUCAUUAAACUCCCUAUAUUAUGGGCUUUCUCAUCUCACAAUAUUACAAAUUUGGAAUUGUCCUCAAUUAGAGUCAUUUCCAGGGAUGGAAUUGCACAUCCCUACUCUUAUCUCUUUACAAAUUUGUGAUUGUGAAAGAUUGAGGUCUCUCUCCAGUCAUAUGCAAAACCUACAGUGCCUCCAAUAUUUACAAAUAUCCACCUGUCAUCAAUUAGAAUUGUUCCCAAAAAUGGGAUUGCCCAACCCAAUGCUUGUCUCUUUUCAGAUUUAUGGGUGCAAAAAUUUGAGGUCUCUACCCAAUCACAUGCAGCACCUCACUUCCCUUAGAUCUCUGAAGGUAUCAUAUUGCAGAGGUAUGGAGUCCUUAACAGAAGGGUGUUUACCUCCAAACCUAUCUGAACUUUCGAUCUAUGAAUGCUUGAAUCUGAAGCAACCAAUGCCAGAAUGGGGACUCCACAGACUCGCUUCUUUUAGAAAAUUGACCAUCCAUGACUCGGGUUCAACUAGAGAUAUGGUUUCCUUUCCAGAUGAUGAUGGCUUACUGCUUCCCACAUCUCUAACUGACCUCAGAAUCUCUAAAUUCAAGAAUCUGAAAUCUAUAUCCAGGGGUAUCCAAAAGCUCAUCUCUCUUCAAGAAUUAGAUAUUCAGUUAUGCCAGGAACUCCAUUCCAUCCCAGAUGAAGGCUUCCCUGCUACACUGGAAGAACUAUCUGUUUCCUGCUGUCCUCUACUGCAAGACCGUUGCUUAAAAGAUAGAGGAGGAGAUUACUGGCCCAUUAUUUCUCAUAUCCCCCGUAUCCGAAUAAAUUAAUUAAGGCUCUGCAGUACCCCAGCAAUCAGACUUCUGUUGUGAGUUGGGACAAACAAGGAAUUUUGUAUCUGCAGCAUUCCAUCAAUCAGGGAAUUUCAGCUUCUUGGAAACAAAUGGAAGAAUCAUCUUCCCUUCCUCCCUGAAUCAGAAUUUCUCAUAUAGCUGCUUCCUUUCAGAGAAAUGGUAGAAAGUGAGCUCAAGACUUCAUCAGAGCAGGGUGGGAUUCAUUGAAAAUGAUAAUAGGAGAAUGCUUCCAAUUUCAUAAUAUUAUCAAAGGGACAUUUGAAGAGUUAUUUAAAAUGAGAUUCAGGCAUAGCCAUCUUGAAAAUCAAGAAAGUAGCUUUUUCCAAUGAUCCUGGCUGUGUUUUAUGAGCAGAUUGUAAUCUUCUAGUCUCAACAAAAGAUCAGUAAUGCAUCCUCAUCUAUGAUUAGGUACUUGAACUCGUCUUCCUUAUCAACUCCUAUAUAUUCCCUUUGUGGGGUUUUCUUUUUCAGAUAAUUUGACUGUGUAGUGAUGGUUCGUUUGAUCUACUAUCAACAAUUUACAUUAACAUUUGACUAGAACCUCUAUUGUUGAUAUUGUUCACUAUGCACACAAACAGAUUUCUAUUUAUAUAGCUAUAGUUGGUUGGAGUUGGGCUAACUUAACUCUUAAUUUUUUUUUAUUGUGAAUUUCUUUUUUAUUUUCAUUAAAUUUUAAUUGAGUUUUUUUUUUAAAUUUUUUAAAUGGGUAAAAAUUUGUUGAUUGUGUUUUAUUUUUUUCUGUUCGCAUUGGCAAGUUUCUGAUUCUCGAAUUUCUGGAUCAAGGAGGGCUUCAACAACUCAUCUCUCUCGAAAAAGCUGGAAAUUAUUUGUUGCAAAAGGUUCUGUACCUUGGCAACCUUGGGGACCUAAGAAGACAUAGGAAAUAACAGGGCCUUUGAUCACAGGAGAUAAUCCAUCCAAAAAAAGUGAUAACCACAGAGCAAAGGGAAAAGUUGGGUUUAGGAGGUAAACCUAUAGGACAUUCAGCUUGCAACACUUCCUUUUUAGCCAAGAAAUGCCCUGCAAAAAGUUGAGAUGUCAAGUGCUUCAAAGAAGAGCACAAGAAGUGUAGGUAUCAAAUGAGGAACAAGAGGAGAUGCUGAGGAAUUUGGAACGCAGAGAAACCGAGUAUAUGAGGAUGCAACGACGUAAAACUGGAAUUGAUGACUUUGAGCAAUUAACUGUAAUCGGUAAAGGUGCAUUUGGUGAGGUCAGAUUAUGCAGAGCCAAAAGCACUGGAGAGAUUUUUGCCAUGAAGAAACUCAAGAAGUCCGAGAUGCUUAGCCGUGGGCAGGUUGAGCAUGUCCGAUCAGAGAGGAACUUACUUGCUGAGGUUGAUAGUCGAUGCAUUGUAAAACUUUUCUAUUCCUUUCAAGAUUCUGAUUUCUUAUACCUUAUCAUGGAGUAUUUGCCUGGUGGAGACAUAAUGACGCUAUUGAUGAGAGAAGAUAUUCUUUCUGAAGAUGUUGCACGCUUUUAUAUAGCAGAGAGUAUUCUAGCUAUACACUCAAUUCAUCAGCACAAUUAUGUUCAUAGGGACAUAAAACCAGAUAACCUGAUACUGGACAAAAAUGGCCAUUUGAAGCUUUCAGAUUUUGGCCUAUGCAAGCCCCUGGAUGAUAAGUAUUCAACAAUUUUACUGGAAAAUGAAGAUAUUUCUACUCAAGAAGGUGCAAUAAACGUUGGAGGACACUUUGACCGACCUCCUUGGUCAAUGCCUAAAGAAAAAUUACAACAAUGGAAACGUAAUCGUCGUGCACUGGCUUAUUCUACUGUUGGAACUCUUGAUUAUAUGGCGCCUGAAGUGUUGCUAAAGAAGGGAUAUGGAAUGGAGUGUGAUUGGUGGUCCCUGGGUGCAAUCAUGUAUGAGAUGCUUUUGGGCUAUCCUCCCUUCUGUUCUGAUGAUCCCAGAAUCACAUGCCGCAAGAUAAUAAAUUGGAAAACAUGCCUCAAAUUCCCUGAGGAACCAAAGAUAUCAAAUGAGGCCAGAGAUCUUAUUUGUCACUUGCUCUGUGAUGUUGAAACGAGGCUAGGGACCAGAGGAGUGGAUGAAUUAAAGGCACAUCCAUGGUUCAGAUGCAUUCAGUGGGAUAUGUUGUACGAAAUGGAAGCUGCAUAUAAGCCUCUAGUCAAUGGAGAUUUGGACACUCAGAAUUUUGAGAAAUUUCCUGAUUUGGAAGGUCCACCAUCCACAAUACCAAGGGUGGGACCGUGGAGGAAGGUAAUGUCAUUGUUUGAUUCUAAUUCACUAUUUACGCCAAAAGGCUCUGAGAAAAUUAUCUGUUUGUCAACUAGCAAAAUAAUAAUAUUGAAAAAAAAAAGGAAAAUAGCUGAAGGGUUAGGUUUUGUUACUUAUUAGAUCACUUAUGACUAAUCACUAAAGCAUCACUGAAACUGUACUAGUAUGUGUUUCAUCAUGUCCUUGAAUUUAUGUAGGGUGGUCAACUAUUUAACGACCUUGCCAUAUAUUUCUAAGUUUUGCUAUAUAUGCUCACCAUUUUUCUUACUGAAUUACAUAUGCUUAUUUUCAGCUUUUGGCCUAUAGUUUUAUAUGAGCAUGAUCCUAAUUUUUCUAGUAUAUUUUGUUUGUUCCAUCAUGCAGAUGUUGACAUCAAAAGAUACCAAUUUCAUAGGAUUUACUUUUAAGAAAUCUGACGUCCUUAACUCACUAGAAAGUUCAGGUGCAGAUGUGAAAUCAAAUGUAUCUUCAAAGGCUCCAUCUUUAAUUUCCUUAUUAGGCCAGAUUGACCUGCAAGAAACUGUGGAACCAGAAGGGGAUCAGACGCUGGAAAUUUAAUUUCCAGCCAUUAUGUUUUGAUUUGAUUGCAGUAGGUUUUCCAAGUUUAUUCACAAGUAAAAUCUGAAAAAGGAAGAACUAUACAAGACAUAAUUGGCAAGAGGUGUUGUGCAUACAUGAAUAAGGACAUCAGCUCUAGAGUUGAUGUGAUGUUGGGUUCUAUUCUUUUUUAUUUUCUUGCAACAAACGUGAUCUGAUACUGUAAAGCCAGUAAAUAGUUCAAUUCAACUGGGAUACAAUUUUUUUGAGAGCUUAUUUAACCCUUAUCUGUGUCAGAGUCGGGCAUCGUUUAUUCAAGUUUGUACAUUAAAACAGACAUCCUUUUCCUUUUGUUCCUUUUACAGUACUGGUAUUGUCUACAUGAAAUUCAGGGAUUUUGAAUGUUGUUCCCUGACCAUGCCAUCAACAUG
RNAcentral lists this unclassified non-coding RNA (7641 nucleotides) under Hevea brasiliensis (rubber tree). Lineage: Eukaryota; Viridiplantae; Streptophyta; Magnoliopsida; Malpighiales; Euphorbiaceae. The record is from RNAcentral.